GAUGAACGCUGGCGGCGUGCCUAAUACAUGCAAGUCGAGCGAAUGGAUUAAGAGCUUGCUCUUAUGAAGUUAGCGGCGGACGGGUGAGUAACACGUGGGUAACCUGCCCAUAAGACUGGGAUAACUCCGGGAAACCGGGGCUAAUACCGGAUAACAUUUUGAACCGCAUGGUUCGAAAUUGAAAGGCGGCUUCGGCUGUCACUUAUGGAUGGACCCGCGUCGCAUUAGCUAGUUGGUGAGGUAACGGCUCACCAAGGCAACGAUGUGUAGCCGACCUGGGAGGGUGAGCGGCCACACUGGGACUGAGACACGGGCCAGACUCCUACGGGAGGCAGCAGUAGGGAAUCUUCCGCAAUGGACGAAAGUCUGACGGAGCAACGCCGCGUGAGUGAUGAAGGCUUUCGGGUCGUAAAACUCUGUUGUUAGGGAAGAACAAGUGCUAGUUGAAUAAGCUGACACCUUGACGGUACCUAACCAGAAAGCCACGGCUAACUACGUGCCAGCAGCCGCGGUAA
Molecule: ribosomal RNA, 515 nt
Filed under: uncultured bacterium
Lineage: Bacteria
Description: partial 16S ribosomal RNA
Rfam family: Bacterial small subunit ribosomal RNA
Source: RNAcentral